RNAcentral lists this ribosomal RNA (603 nucleotides) under Triticum aestivum (bread wheat). Its description in RNAcentral is "partial small subunit ribosomal RNA". The record is from RNAcentral. Lineage: Eukaryota; Viridiplantae; Streptophyta; Magnoliopsida; Poales; Poaceae.
AUGGCCCAUGUUGUCCUCAACUUCAAUGCGUUCCUAGAGAAAAACAAGCUGAAAGACGAUGGCAGCAACUAUACGGACCGGGUCCAGAACCUGAGGAUCAUCCUCAUGGCUGCCAAGAAAGAUUAUGUCCUAGAAGCACUGUUAGGUGACGCACCUGUCCCAGAGAACCAAGACGUUAUGAACGCUUGGCAGUCACGUGCUGAUGAUUACUCCCUCGUUCAGUGCGGUAUGCUUUACAGCUUAGAACUGGGGCUCCAAAAGCGUUUUGAGAGACACAGAGCAUAUGAGAUGUUCGAAGAGCUGAAAAUGGUUUUUCAAGCUCAUGCCCGGGUCGAGAGAUAUGAAGUCUCUGAUAAGUUCUUCAGCUAUAAGAUGGAGGAAAAUAGUUCUGUCAGUGAGCACAUACUCAAAAUGUCUGGGUUGCAUAACCGCUUGACUCAGCUGGGAGUUAAUCUCCCGGAUGACGCGGUCAUUGACAGAAUCCUUCAGUCGCUUCCACCAAGCUACAAGAGCUUUGUGAUGAACUUCAAUAUGCAAGGGAUGGAAAAGACCAUUCCUGAGGUAUAUUCAAUGCUGAAAUCAGCAGAGGUGGAAAUCAAAUAG